CUCCUUUGACGUUAGCGGCGGACGGGUGAGUAACACGUGGGUAACCUACCUAUAAGACUGGGAUAACUUCGGGAAACCGGAGCUAAUACCGGAUAAUAUUUCGAACCGCAUGGUUCGAUAGUGAAAGGUGGUUUUGCUAUCACUUAUAGAUGGACCCGCGCCGUAUUAGCUAGUUGGUAAGGUAACGGCUUACCAAGGCGACUAUACGUAGCCGACCUAAGAGGGUGAUCGGCCACACUGGAACUGAGACACGGUCCAGACUCCUACGGGAGGCAGCAGCU
This 281-nucleotide ribosomal RNA is filed under the name uncultured Staphylococcus sp. RNAcentral's name for it is "partial 16S ribosomal RNA". It matches the Rfam family "Bacterial small subunit ribosomal RNA", at positions 81 to 355 of the family's 1533-position model. Lineage: Bacteria; Bacillati; Bacillota; Bacilli; Caryophanales; Staphylococcaceae. The record is from RNAcentral.